AGUGUGCUCAGCACGUGGAAUGGCUUCUUCACUUCGCUGUGCUUUGUUGGGGCUCUCAUUUGAGAAACAUUUUUGUUCUUAUACUCAGAUUUUUGUCAAACAGAGUUGAGCCAGAGGAACAGUCCAGGGUGGCAGAGGGACACACCAGGAAGGAGCAGGAGAGAUGACCCAGGGAGGAUCCAGGGACGACCCAGAGACAAUCCUUAGAACUCAAAGUCAAAAGUGUUCUUGGAUGGACGAUUUAUUUUGGAAUGGAGCUCCCCUCUCUCAUCAUGUCAACUAAUUUCUGGCAAUUUCUGGCAUCUGUGUCCUUCCUCAGUGAAGUGGAGGGCUGCUGGCAGCUGUGUUUUACACCACACUGCCCUGAAUACUCUAUCAACCUCCUGCUGUGCCACACAUCAUCACAUGAUCACAAAGACCCGAGACCUGAGACUCUUCAUCUCUCGGUGUCUCUUUCACCUAUGAACACAAUAUGAUAAAUCUCGUAGUAAAUACUACAUUUACUAAAAGAAAGUCAAGAAGUGCCCCUAGACAGAUGUGUUUACCCAUUGUAAGGACCACCCAUUGGCCCAAAAACAAAACCCAACGGUUAAGGUUAAGGUACGCUGUAAGGUUUAAGGUUUAAAUUCACUCCUUUUGUUUAUUUAGGAUCAAUUUAAUUUCAUGAUUUAUUUGACUCCAGUUUUAAAUUAUUCUCAAAUUUAAGUUGGAAUAU
This 715-nucleotide long non-coding RNA is filed under the name Danio rerio (zebrafish). RNAcentral's name for it is "lncRNA si:ch211-13b16.1 (ENSDARG00000095883.4)". Lineage: Eukaryota; Metazoa; Chordata; Actinopteri; Cypriniformes; Danionidae. The record is from RNAcentral.